This 736-nucleotide ribosomal RNA is filed under the name uncultured bacterium. RNAcentral's name for it is "bacterial SSU rRNA". It matches the Rfam family "Bacterial small subunit ribosomal RNA", at positions 65 to 800 of the family's 1533-position model. The record is from RNAcentral.
AGGGGCAGCACGUCUUCGGAUGGUGGCGACCGGCGCACGGGUGAGUAACGCGUAUGCAAUCUACCUUUUACAGGGGCAUAGCCCGGGGAAACCCGGAUUAAUAUCCUAUAGUACCAAGAUAUAGCAUUAUACUUUGGUUAAAGCUUCGGCGGUAAAAGAUGAGCAUGCGUCCUAUUAGCUAGAUGGUAAGGUAACGGCUUACCAUGGCUAUGAUAGGUAGGGGUCCUGAGAGGGAGACCCCCCACACUGGUACUGAGACACGGACCAGACUCCUACGGGAGGCAGCAGUGAGGAAUAUUGGACAAUGGGCGAGAGCCUGAUCCAGCCAUGCCGCGUGCAGGAAGACGGCCCUAUGGGUUGUAAACUGCUUUUACAGAGGAAGAAACACCCCCUCGUGAGGGGGCUUGACGGUACUCUGCGAAUAAGGAUCGGCUAACUCCGUGCCAGCAGCCGCGGUAAUACGGAGGAUCCAAGCGUUAUCCGGAAUCAUUGGGUUUAAAGGGUCCGUAGGCGGGACAGUAAGUCAGUGGUGAAAGUCUGUGGCUCAACCAUAGAAUUGCCGUUGAAACUGUUGUCCUUGAGUCAUUAUGAAGUGGUUAGAAUAUGUAGUGUAGCGGUGAAAUGCAUAGAUAUUACAUAGAAUACCGAUUGCGAAGGCAGAUCACUAAUAAUGCACUGACGCUGAGGGACGAAAGCGUAGGUAGCGAACAGGAUUAGAUACCCUGGUAGUCUACGC